CACGUAGGGGCUAGCGUUAUCCGGAAUUACUGGGCGUAAAGGGUGCGUAGGUGGUUUCUUAAGUCAGAGGUGAAAGGCUACGGCUCAACCGUAGUAAGCCUUUGAAACUAGGAAACUUGAGUGCAGGAGAGGAGAGUGGAAUUCCUAGUGUAGCGGUGAAAUGCGUAGAUAUUACACAGAACACCAAUUGCGUAGGCAGCUUACUGAGCCGACACUGACGCUGAGGCACGAAAGCGUGGGGAUCAAACAGGAUUAGAUACCCCUGUAGUCCCUGA
RNAcentral lists this ribosomal RNA (275 nucleotides) under uncultured prokaryote. Its description in RNAcentral is "partial 16S ribosomal RNA". It matches the Rfam family "Bacterial small subunit ribosomal RNA", at positions 524 to 800 of the family's 1533-position model. The record is from RNAcentral.